This 253-nucleotide ribosomal RNA is filed under the name uncultured bacterium. RNAcentral describes it as "partial 16S ribosomal RNA". It matches the Rfam family "Bacterial small subunit ribosomal RNA", at positions 524 to 776 of the family's 1533-position model. The record is from RNAcentral.
UACAGAGGGGGCAAGCGUUGUUCGGAAUUACUGGGCGUAAAGGGCGCGUAGGCGGCCUGCUAAGUCGAACGUGAAAUCCCUGGGCUCAACCUGGGAACUGCAUUCGAUACUGCCGAGCUAGAGUGUGGGAGAGGGUAGUGGAAUUCCCGGUGUAGCGGUGAAAUGCGUAGAUAUCGGGAGGAACAUCAGUGGCGAAGGCGACUGCCUGGCCCAACACUGACGCUGAGGUGCGAAAGCGUGGGUAGCAAACAGG